UACGAAGGGGGCUAGGCGUUGCUCGGAAUCACUGGGCGUAAAGCGCACGUAGGCGGACUCUUAAGUCGGUGGUGAAAUCCUGGAGCUCAACUCCAGAACUGCCUUCGAUACUGGGAGUCUUGAGUCCGGGAGAGGUGAGUGGAACUGCGAGUGUAGAGGUGAAAUUCGUAGAUAUUCGCAAGAACACCAGUGGCGAAGGCGGCUCACUGGCCCGGUACUGACGCUGAGGUGCGAAAGCGUGGGGAGCAAACAGG
RNAcentral lists this ribosomal RNA (254 nucleotides) under uncultured bacterium. RNAcentral describes it as "partial 16S ribosomal RNA". It matches the Rfam family "Bacterial small subunit ribosomal RNA", at positions 524 to 776 of the family's 1533-position model. The record is from RNAcentral.